CAGGGCUGUGUUUGACUUGUGCUGGCUCUGCUCCCGAUCUGCCUACUUGAAAGUCUCAGCCAAUCCUAUGGGAAAGCAUUGUGAUUGGCUCAGAACAACACUCUUGAUGAUGUCAGCAGACAGCUUGCAGGUCUGACACAGACAGGGGAAGAGCCAGCAGCUUCAGGCUUGAAUACAAGUACGAUUUUACUAUAUUUAGGGAGGCAAGAAAGGGCCAGAUGGCGGUUUUAACACUAUAGGGUCAG
Pelobates cultripes (western spadefoot toad) is the source of this 245-nucleotide non-coding RNA. The record is from the annotation of a GenBank genome assembly. Lineage: Eukaryota; Metazoa; Chordata; Amphibia; Anura; Pelobatidae.